GAACGGGUGAGUAACACGUGAGGAACUUGCCCAUGAGCGGGGGACAACAUUCGGAAACGGAUGCUAAUACCCCAUAGGUGGAUUGGUCGCAUGACGAAUUCAUUAAAGGUGGCUUUGCUACCACUCAUGGAUAGCCUCGCGGCGUAUUAGCUAGUUGGUAAGGUAAUGGCUUACCAAGGCAGUGAUACGUAGCCGACUUGAGAGGGUGAUCGGCCACACUGGGACUGAGACACGGCCCAGACUCCUACGGGAGGCAGCAGUAGGGAAUCUUCCACAAUGGGUGCAAACCUGAUGGAGCAAUGCCGCGUGAGUGAAGAAGGUCUUCGGAUCGUAAAGCUCUGUUGUUAGAGAAGAACACGUGCUAGGUAACUACUAGCGCCUUGACGGUAUCUAACCAGAAAGUCACGGCUAACUACGUGCCAGCAGCCGCGGUAAUACGUAGGUGACAAGCGUUGUCCGGAUUUAUUGGGCGUAAAGGGAGCGCAGGCGGUCUGUUUAGUCUAAUGUGAAAGCCCACGGCUUAACCGUGGAACGGCAUUGGAAACUGACAGACUUGAAUGUAGAAGAGGAAAAUGGAAUUCCAAGUGUAGCGGUGGAAUGCGUAGAUAUUUGGAGGAACACCAGUGGCGAAGGCGAUUUUCUGGUCGAACAUUGACGCUGAGGCUCGAAAGCGUGGGGAGCGAACAGGAUUAGAUACCCUGGUAGUCCACGCCGUAAACGAUGAGUGCUAAGUGUUGGGGGCUUUCCGGCCCUCGGUGCUGGAGCUAACGUAUUAAGCACUCCGCCUGGGGAUUACGACCGCAAGGU
Molecule: ribosomal RNA, 807 nt
Filed under: uncultured bacterium
Lineage: Bacteria
Description: bacterial SSU rRNA
Rfam family: Bacterial small subunit ribosomal RNA
Source: RNAcentral